UUUUUUUUUUUUUUUUUUUUGUCGAUACGAUAGCGUCCUACACUAUAGCGAGGGGGAGGGCCGGAAGAGGUCUUGAAGUAAUCCGAAAGGAAUUGAACCACUAUCGGACCAAACGGGUGCACAACACACCCGCCUGAAUUUUUUAAACAUGGCCACAUUUAAUUGUGGCACCAAGCCUUAAUGCAUUGCCAAAGGCUGGUGGUUAACUCAGGACUGAAGUAGCCUUAACUCAGGACUGAAGUAGCCAAAGUUGUUCUUUGGCAAGUCGAAUCUCGUCUCCUUGACCAUAUUACACGUUGUUCUAAUCCGUCCACACCUGCAAAAUUUCUGCAUUUACACUUGACCAAUCUUGGAAAUUUCUGUCCUUAAGUGCCAUCAUUAGGCUGCAUAAGGAAACUCUCUGCUUUCUCGGAAAUGGGCCUCUUUGAAAAACUUUUGUCUGGGUCUUGCCUCAAGCUAUUGUAGUGGUUUUUUAAAGCAUAAUUUAUGGGUUCUAGAAAUUGGGAGGUUAAACCUAUAUCUAUAUGGUAUGCAUUUUCCCAUCAUAGUACGAUUGUAGUUUCAAUAGUGUACUUCGCUGAAUUUGAAAUCUCAAGUCAAUUACCAUAUUAAAAUUGACAAUGAAGAAAAAAUUCUGGUGUCCCUCUAAUAAAAUCUUCUUUUCUUGAGGCUACUUCAGUGAGGCCUUCACUUCCUUUUUUUGUAUGAUUUUAGAUUAAGCAAAACAUUUGUUUGCUCAAUACUCUAUUGACCAAUCUCAAUUAUCUAUUUUUUAUUUUUUUGGACAAACCCCGUGUAUGGGGGUAGAAUGUCAGUCCAAUUUCAGUUAACUUAAGAAGCUAAAACUUAAAAUAAGUUUUUAUGACUAAAGAGAGAGCACUGUUUAAAAAAAAAAAAACUUGAUGAAAUUCUGAUUUCAAAAGCCUUAGUAAUCUUGACGAUAAUAAUAUACAUAUACGUCAGUUCAAUUAUCUGGAUUAGGCCAUAAAUCAAACGUGAGGGAAUUCCCAGCUUUUUUAAUUCAUUGCAUUAGCUUCAUUUAACCAUCUGUUUUAAUUAAAUCCAUGUCAUUUUUUUGUUUUUUAGGUGUGUCCCGCAGGGAGUGGACCCCGCAGACUAUUCACCACCCUCAGCAACUUGCUGGCAGCAAGGUUCGAACCAGGGACCUGAAUCUCCAUCUUCAGCAAUCUCAACCACCAGACCAAGCCCCUGAGGGCAAUUAAAUCCAUGUCAUGAAAGAUGGUAGAUGACCUUGUUAAUCAUGAUGUGAACUCUUAAUUUAAUUGACAAAUUGGAGCAAUGUCCACUAAUCAUUCUUUUUGUAAAAAUCUGUUCAACUUGUGAAGGUCUUCGAGCAUAAAAUAUUGCAAUAAUUGAAAUAAUAUUACUAUUAUUUUAUUUCAUGUCUUAUUGGCAAGAUAACUUACUUUAUCUCAAGUGGAAUUGCCAUGUUUAAAUACACGAGUUGUUUCUUUUAGACCUAUUGUCACCGGGCAUGAUGGAGGAGAGAGGAAUAGAUUGAAUAGUUUGAAAGGAAGAGAUAUAAGUGAGAAAUCUCGAGUUCAAACUCCAAUACUUACACUUGAAAAAAAAAAAAAAAAGGCAUGACAUAGUUGUACCUCCCCAGAUAAAUUUUCUAACACGGGUAUUUCCUUCUUUUAUUUAUUUUCUUUUUUCGUUCUUAGUUGAUGGAAAAAGACAUACAAGUUCCAUUUGUGUUUUUUGACAAAAAAAAAAAAAAAAGUUCCAUUUGUGGAAGUUGUACACGUAUGCUGACUUUUCUCCAAUAGAAAGUUUGAAUUCCUAAAAACAAAGAAAGCGCCCUUUCGAAGUCUAAUGGGGCCACAAAAUUUGUGACGGUCACAAAAUUUAUCACAAUAUGUGACGGUUUUCAUUGAUCAGUUUCGAUGGAGUUUCUAUUCACAUCGAGUCUCCACAUCCUCCCCUUAGAAUAGACUAGUUUAGGUUAUAGAAAUUCUAUCGUAUCACCAAAAAAAAAAAAAAAGAAGUCUAAUGGGGCCACGUGAUGAUCUAAUUUUAUAUAAAUGGUUGAAGUGUAAACGAAGAAAUUUUUAGGUGUGGACAGAAUAAAAUAACAAGCGUUUUGGUCAAGGAGACGAGAUACUACUAGCCAAAAAUAUACUCCAAUUAUUUCGGGCAGCAGAAUUGUGGCACGUUUUUUUGCCAGUAAGGAUUCUUAAUCUUGGUCAGUCAACUUAAAAUGAAGUAAACGAUGCUCUUUAACAUGAUACAAGAAAGGCCUUCUUUGGUUCACUAAAUAGAUUAUACAAAAAUUAUUCUUAUCAUAAAAUUAACCCCAACGAAAUGUGCACGGUCUUCGCGAGAACUGCCAGUCAGAUUGAAAAGAGGCUCCAUGUACCUUUCUAAGGAGCAAAUAAGGAGACAAGGCAAACGCCAAAGGGCUACCAAAUUGAUGAGGCAGACAAUUACGUGUCAGCUGUGCCCUAACAUGUUUUAACAAAACCCCUUAUAGAUAUGUAUUUUUUAACCCUGCCAUUCCUUUCUACACCUGUUCUGUUCCUAUCUGUCGAGCGAGAUCCUGUCAUAGAUAUGUAUUUUUUUUUGUCGUAACAAUAGGAUUCCUAUAAGCUAAUCUAACCUAAUCUAGAGGGGAGGGGGAGGGAAUUCGAUGUGAAUAAAAACUCCAUCGAAAAUGGCCAAUGAAGACCGUCACAUAUUGUGACAAUUUUUUGGUAGAAGGCAAGAUUCGAAUCCUUGACCUCCCGCACCACCAAGUCUAAGAAGGCCUGGGAGUGGCCUAUCAUAGAUAUGUAGAUAUAUUUGGAAAAUUGUUAAAUAUAAUCGAGAUUAAGAGUGUCAGAAGCAUUUUCAGAGUUCAUCUUGUCAAGUUAUGGAAAUUCUGACGCAUUACAAUAAUAUGGUUAUGAAUUUAAUAAGGGGAGGAUUGGGUUGAGUGGUAAAAUGGAAAGAAUUGUAAAUAAAAAGUUAUGAAUUUAAAACCUCUCAUUUAUCCACAGAGAGAGAGAGAGAGAGAGAUUCAAAAAGAAAAAUAACCGAAACGAUUCAAUAAAUAAAAUCUCUAUAUUCUUACUACAGAGGAGGCUCGUAUUGGAAUUUUGCUACUAGUAGCUUCCCAUGAAUGCGUGAUUCCUAAGAAUUCAUUCGUGUAAGCAAUUGAAAAUGCGCUUUUAACAUCUUCUAUCUUUUAAUGUAGUGAUUUUUUCUUUUUCAUAAAUUUCUUCAUCCAAAAUAAUAAACGAGAAAAAAAAAAUAAACAGAAUUCUUGGAUGCGGGCAAUCAAUUUUCAGAUCGGAUACACUGAUAAUAAUCUAGGCAGCCACAUUUAGUGGUCUGGUCUGACCAUUCACCAUGCAGAUUUGACUGCUUUCUAACUGAAAUUUAGUGAUUUAGUGCUGGGGUUUUACCCUUCAUCAGGGAACAUAUGCUCACUUUUCCCAAUAAUUUUGAGGCUUUUGAAAUUGGUUUGUGAAAUUUUGUCCAUUAUUCUCAAAUAACAGAAUAAUAAGCUACAAGGUACCUACUACCUAUGAGGUUUGGCAUCUUGUUCCAUCUCAAUUUGCCAAUUCUCUCUGAGGAUGAUGCCAAGGUAAGUUCAGCAGCUGAUCAAGAUGAUCAAUUACCAUCUUCUCAAGGGCAACUGCAUUUUCUGGAUCACUUUGACGACCAUAACAUCCCCAGCUCCCAGCACUUGGCAAAAACUUGCGAUGUUUUAAGAAAGACAUGAUAUGAUCAAAUUCUUUUUUGGUUAAUUGAAAAGAUUAUGCAUCAAAUUAUUUUUUGCCAAGUAGAAUCUCGAAAGAGUCCCAAAAACUUAUGGCUGCAUCAGUGAGCUAAUCCCAACGAAAUGUGCACGGUCUUCGUCCCAAUGAAAUUACAGUCUAUUCGUUCAAAAUGUGUUACUUAUAGGUGCCCCUCACUGAUGCCGGUGCGGGUUUCUGAGAUGCCCAACAAUUACAGCUCAAAUCAUCCAACAGGGAUUUUCGGCCUUUCGAAAUUGUUUGCUGCCCAUAUCAAUUUCAAGGUCAUUUGCAGCUGGAUAAGCUUGAAUUCGGGCUGCCUAGGGAAAUGAUAGGAUAUUAUUUGUUAGUAAUUUUAUUAUUAAUUUUUUUAUUCCUGUCAAAUAUUAUGUUAAUCGUCGAUAUCUGCUCAUUCUUGGUAUUUGGAAUUAAUUUCAGAGAUUUGGAGCAGAAAACUACAAAAAAGGGGGACUUGCUUCAUAAGUGGGAGACUUCAAAAAAGUCCCAUGGACCUGGCCCACAAGGGACAAAGAAACGGAUUUGGCUGAAGAAGUGACAGGGGAUUGGAGCGGCAGAACGUUCUUUUGGAGACUUUGGCCCCCUAAUUCGUAGGGCCCAUCUUGUGCGCUUAGCUUCUUCAAUCCCGCGGGAGACCAAGGACAAGGAAAAGUGAGCACUAGUCAUUCGGCUAAAAAAAGAAAGUAACGCACGGAGGCUUGAAAACAAGAAGAAUUCGGCGGGCUUGUGGCUAAUUUGUGGGGACCACGGAAGAUAGGAAAGGCGUUAGUCAUCUUUGGCUUUAAAAAGAAACAGACGAAUAGGCGGCUCUUAUCACUAGCUCUUAGGAUAGUUUUAGUUUUAGUUUUUCCUUUCCUUCCCUUUGUCAACUACGCGCCAACUGUUCGAGAAUAUUUUUCAACGGAAAAAACAUCUUUUAUUCCUUACUUUCUAGUAAAAAACGUAAUGCCUUUACAAUCCAUUAAUUUGCAUAGAGAUUUAUUUAUGCGUCAUGGCUAAACCUUUCAUUUAGUCAAGGAUCAACUCAACGGUGCAGUCUCGAAAAUCUGUGAGAUCUAAUUAGUUUUCACGCGUUCUUUAAUUUAUUAAUAUUUACACGUUGUCUACUUGAAUUUUCAUGAGAUUAUUUUAUUAAUUGGAUGUCAAUGGCCCGAUGUUCAAUGUGAUUUAUUAAUCUCAUGCCAAUUUAGCCAAUUAAAUCCGUAAUUAUUGGAUUGAUUAAUAUUAGUGGCAACUGGUGUGUUUACACAUUAGGGGAACGUGCAAUCUAAUUUAAAUAAUUCCUGCUAUAUUCGUGCUAAUUAAUUAUUUAUUUUUAGUUGAAUUGUUUAAUUGUUUUCUAGUUUUAUUCUGGUGAAAUUCCCCCUUACCCAUUGGAAUUUAAAAGAGUCAAAUAUUUCCAGUCCCUGAGGAGACGACCCUACUCGUCACUGUCUACUAAUUAGUAAUUUUUGUCAACUAAUUAAUUCUAGUAUAUCGGAUUAAGCAAACUCUUCGGAAACAGGGUGAAUCAAGUAACCCAUUGCACACUUAGAGUCUCUGCUCCAGUACCUAAAAUUAAUUAUUGACUGCUUUUAAUAGUAUUUAGGUUUUUAUUAUUAUUAUUGCACAGAUUCAACGACCUGUCAGGAAAGCUGCUUUUCAUAUUGAUUAAUCAAUGGCCUAUGAGUCCAGCAACAAUCUAAAAGGGCGCACGUAGAUGUCUGAGGAUUGACCAUGAAGACUUGGACAAUUUUCUAACUGCAAAUUGAGUGAUUUAGUCCUCGGAUUUUACCUUCCAUCAGGGAAAUAUGCUUAUUUUUCCCAAUGAUUUUCAAAAUGACUUGAACCUGAUUCGACUGCUUCUACUUGAAAUUAGUGAUAAUAGUCCAGGGAUUUUACCCUUUAUCGGGAAGCAAAUGCUCAGCUUUCCCACAAAUUUGAAUGAUGGAUUGGCCUGAUUUUCACAUGCAUGCUGUGAAAUAUGCAGUACUACUGUGAGGUUGACAUUCAUCCAGGUCAAUGCAAGUGGAAAUUGUAAAUUAACAUGUUUAUGGGGUACAAUGUAAGUAGUUAGUUAACGAGCACCGGACAAAGGAUAGGAACGGUUGUCUCAAAUAAUAAAUUGCCUAAAAUGGGCCAACGCUGCUUAAUUUCAAAUUGUACGGAUGAGAUAACAUCUAUAUUUUUGACGUAACAAACAUAUAAGACCCGCGCGAAAAGCAUAUGACUAUAGCAUCUCUAUUGUAAAAUGGGCCAACACUGCAUUUUCUAGGAAGUACCUAACAAGUUCGAGACCACUUUGACGACCAUAACAUCCCCCACUUUAGGAUGUUGGAACGGACAACUGACACCUUUCUUGAAUUUCUGAUUGAGUUUUCUUACAAUAUCCGGGUUCCAUUUUACCUUCAGCUCAAACUUCUCCACGUUUGGUGAUGUCCUGAUCAAAGACGUAAAUCCAAUGAAGCUAACAUCUUCUGAUGCUUGAUUAGUUAGUAAGGUUGCUUGCUUAGGUAGGCGAGGAAGUUCAUGGAGCUUUAAUUUUUCAUAAGACAAGUAGGUGGAUAAGGUAAGAACCUCCAGGUUCAACAGGCAGAGCAGGAAAGCCAAGAAACAGCAUCCUUCGCUAAGUAGCCCGGGGGCAUUAUCAAGCACUAGAGACUAGAGAGUGCGCUUGAGUAAUUGCAGUGAGACUAGAUUUGUAUCCCAGAAAAUGACCGAUUUUAAUUUGGUACAAUAAACUAUCUCCAGAUGUUGCAACAUUGCAAGAGAUGGACCUGAGACUUGAAGAUUUAUCAAAUCGUAACAGCCUUGCACUACUAGUCACACAAACAAGCAAUGGGUAGUUUGUGCAAGUAGAAUUUCAAGAAUUUUGCCGGACACAUUUCACGCCCAUCAAACUCAGGGUUCUGAGGGAAUUGAACUCAACAGAUUCACCAGCAUGACCGCUCAGGCCAAUGGAGUCAAGUGAAAAAGUAUACGCGUUAAAGUAACAACGAAACAGCUCGUCAAACUCUUAACAAGUCCAAUUCUAGCCAAUCAACUCGCCAUGCAAAGGCAUACUGAAGCCACUGGUCAAUGUUCAUGGGAAUGUCUGUCCAAAUCAAAACAAACCCUGAAUUCAUCAAGCAAUGUCAAGGAUUUGUGUGAUAUAUAGCAGCACAUUGUUCACCCGCUUAAUAUACUUGAGCCUUACCCUUUUGCAAAUUUGCUAUGCUUUUUCACUGAUAUGGCUUGUAUUCCUGCCAUCUUGUCUAACGCUUUGGACGCAUCAACAUCAAGCACUUACUCUCGCUGCAGCUUUAAGCGGCAGAAACGAUAUAAUUCAACGAAGAAUAUCAUCCGGUAGUUCACUGAUCACAUCCACGACUUGUUGCUCUCUGUUUUUGCACUUCUUCAGGCCAUUCAUCGAUCUAGAAUCAGAUGCAAGUUUCACCCUUCGGGGCCCCCUCCAGUGACCCUUCGCCCCAUCAAGAUUAAUGCUUUCCCAAAAAUAUUCUAACCAUCAAAUCUAUAUGAUUCUUGCUUCCAUUUAUGUAAUUAAGAGAAUUCCUAAAAGAAUAAAAUAGGAAUUUAACUAGCUUUGAUGCUUCAUGUUAGGAGAUAAUUUUGUGGAAGUUAGUUUCCUUUUACAAUGGAAAUGUUUAUCAGAAUAUGCGUUGUUCUUAGGAUAGGCUUCAGAAAUUAUGACAACAAAAGGAAAGAAAAUUUUAAGUGGUGAAUUUAGAAAUUAAUCAAGUGUUGGUGAGAGAAUUUCUUGGAGAAUAGUUAUUGUAUAAACCCAUGAAUCUAAUAUUAUGAAAAGAGAAGUUAUGGAAAAGUAGUAGGCCUCAUCAAUUCAAGGAAUGAAAUCUUAUUGUCCGUAAUUUCAUUGAUCGCAUAUAUGAUGGGAUUAUCUUAUGCAAGUCGCUGAUGAAGAGGACCUUAAAAACAGAUAUUAUGGAAUGAAUUUGCAAAUUAGCCAGGGAGCAUUAUUAAUCGUCACAACCAAAAGAGAAAAAAGGAAAAAUAUAAGAAAGAAACCCCAAAAUUUAUACACGGGCAGAAGUCGAAUUUUAUGACCGCAAUCCUUAGAAAAUAGACAGAUUAUAUAUAUCCAGGCACUGAGAAAACUACCACCAAUUUGUCUUAAUUGCUUCUGAAUCUUUCACAUGGCAUGAUGGCUCUUUGGCCUUGUUUCUUCAAGAUAGACCUGCUGAAAAUGAAAAGGGAAACACAAAGCAUCAAUGCUUGCACAUGAGUUAUUUACGCAAAAAGCUUUAUAGUUAAAGUGCUGAUAAAUUCGCAUGCAGAAUUAAAGUCAAAGGGUAUCUACGAGAUAUUAAUUUAGGAAGUAAGCAAUAGCGGAACCAAGAUUUGAUAAGAGGGGGAGGGGUGGAGGAAUUUAGCAUAUAAGAAAAUCUUUAUAUGAGUUAUCUAGGUAAUAUAUAACAAGUUUUAUUUUCAUGCUUAUAUUUAAUAUAUAUAUAUAUAUUUUUUUUUUAAAAGAUAAUUUGUACUCCAAAUGAAACUUAACAUGAAUUGACCCUUUUCUUGCUUGCCAUAUGGUUUUCAAAUAGAAAAAAGUAAUUAUUUGUAAAUAAUAUGGUAUUAUUCAAACUACAUUUUAGAUGUUAUAAGGUUCAAAUUAUGAUGACGUUAAAAACAUUCUUCAAAUAUGCCUUUUCCUUUCCUGUUUUAUUCCCAUAAAAUGGAAAAAAAUCAUAAAUAAAUUUAUUUGAUUAUAGUUUUCCUACUAACAUUUUACUGAAAAAGUUUGAAAGUGUACAGUUUUAUUUGUUCUUAAAGGAAGUUGAUGGAGCAAAAAUGUAUUUAAAGAGGAGAGAGAAUAGAAAUAUGUUUAAAAUGAAACUUUGUUUUUGGCACCCGGGGGUGAAGAUAUUCAACAAAAGUUUUGAGGGGUAAAAGGAGUUAAAAUAAAUUAUAUAGGUCCAAAUGAAUUGUUUCAAAGGUUUAGCGGGGUGACAGCCCCUGUUGGUGUUCCUGGCUCUGCCUCUAGAAGUAAGUUCUUUUUUUUUUUCCCCUUUUUAUCCUCCCACCCCUCCUUACAUCUUUUCCUACUUCCAACUGCAAGAUUUAGAUUUCAAACUCUGAACCUGGCAAUGGAGAAAACAUCAAAAGCUCCUCCUUGAUCAUUGGGCCAAUCUCAGUGGUUAAGUUUAUUACUGUACAGUUGGAUGAAAAUGCAAAACAAAAUUGAAAAAAAGUUGCAUACAACCAAAAUGAUGAAGAAACGAGAUUUAUGUGCACAUAAGGAAAUCAAAAACACAUGGGAGGUAAAUGCAAUGAGUAGAGGGCAAAAUGUUUUGCUAACCAAUUAAGGAAGCUAGUUGUUGUGGAGAUCCCUAUUCUGGAGGAUAAAAGAGGAGCUUAAGGUCAGAGCCAAAAUUCUGCUGAAUUUCCCUUGCUGAGGUAACCAACUUGGAACUGGUACAAUACAGCUCAAUUUCUUGGAGAGUGGAUAUUUCUCCAAAUUCAGGUGGGAGAGCCUCAAGGACAGUGCAGUGCCGUAGGAAAAGGCUUUCCAGCUUUGGAAAAUGAUCAGCUGAAGUCUCCCAUACCUUCAAAUCUGUAUGACCUAUAUGCAAUACUUUCAGAUUUGGAAAACCCUCAUCUUCUGUUUUCCAUCUUUCUCCCUUGAAUGCAUUGUCUUUCAAUUUGAUCACCUCAAGCAUCUCCAAUUUCCCCAGUGUAGACAUAUGUACCCAAUCAAGCGAGGUGUUUAGUAGGGUCAACUUUUUCAGCCUUCUUGGAAACUUGGUUGGUGAAGGAAGUUGUUGUAACUCGAAUGUUUGAUCAGAAUUCAAUAGCUUCAGAUUUUCAAGCUCUUGCAAUCUGGAAAGACUAUCAAACAAGCUAGAUUCACCUCUGGCAUUGAAAAGACCAGCUAAUUUCCCACGGAUACCCAAUUUCUUGAGCUUAGGAGUCCUGUCAAACACUUCUUUCGUGCAACUUUCUGGUGAGAUUGUAGAAAGGGUUCGAAGGUUUGAACUGCUCAUGGCCUCGUCCUUGGACUUCUGCACACAUGCCGAUGCAUUAGUGUGCAGAUGCCUUAGAUGAGUCAUUUUCCAAAUAUCUGCUUUUAUAUCAAGGAUAAGAGAUGAUGUUUCAAUGAUAACAGUCUGCAAGUUCCAAAGAUCCAACAUUUUCUCAGGAAGGACCUUGAAAUGACAACAGAUGGCAAUAUACUUCAGAAGAAUAAGCUGAAAUAGGCCCGAAGGAAAACGAGUGAGAAUUAUUGAUCUGAUUUCCAGAACUCUAAGCAAUUUGAAGGCCCUAGGGAUGGAUGAGACAUAUUCUACAGGCAUAGGGAUUUCUUCCUUGGCAAAGCAGAGAAAAGAGCGGACAUGUGGACCAAAUGGUCUUGAUCCUAUGUAAUCUAAAACAGAAUCAUUAACACAUAUGCGGCGGAAAGCAUCCGAAGAAGAGCUUACAGAUUGGGAAAACUCUUUCAUUUCAUGGAAAAGAUUUUCUUUUCUUGCCUCCAUCUUGCAAAAGUCACGCAAUGUGUCAUGAAUUCGACAAGUUUUAAUACGACCAUCCGAACUUCUGCGUCCCACCAUCACUAAAUUCUUGUCAACUAGGUCCAUCAAGUAAUACUCCGCUAGAUCUUCUAAGCUAAUACUUUGAUGGCUUCCUAUAAAACCUUCAGCAAUCCAUAAUCGCAGCAAUCUCCAGACAGGGAUAUCAUAGUCUUCUCGAAAGACCCCCAUGUAGAGAAAGCAUGGUUUUAAGUGGUGAGGCAAGUUAUUGUAACUCAAUUUGAUUACAUCAAACAUUUGCGACAUAUCCCUUGCAAUAUAUUCUGUCAUACCUUCAGAUACCCUCUCCCACCAGCGAAGGUUGUGUCUAUGAUUCAACAGUAUACCUGCUAGUACGACAAUAGCUAACGGCAAUCCGCCGCAUCGCUGCAGAAUGCGUACUUCAUGUUCCUCGAGCUCUUCUGGGAGUUCACUCUGACCGAAAACCUUAUGCCGUAGUAACAUUCGACUUUCCUCUGGAUGCAGAAAUCGCAUAUAAUAGGGUCCAAUCUCUGCAUUAGCAUGAAGUGCUACAGAUUUGUUUUGGCUAGUUAUAACCACUCUGCUGCCGUUACCAUCGUCAGGAAAAGCACGCUUGAGAUCAUCCCAUGCUUCCGUGGUCCAAACAUCAUCCAGCACAAUCAAGUACCUCAUCUUCUUUAAUUGCAUAUUAAUUAGUUGCGCCAAGUCUUCGUCUGGCAUUUUUUUCCUUUCUUCAGUGACAUGGCCAAAGCUGUUGAGAAUUCUCAGGAGCACUUCCCUUCUAUUGUAUUCUUGAGAAACAUUAACAAAUGCUCGAAGAUGGAAAUUAUAUGCAACUUUUGAAUCAUUGAAUAUCUUUCUAGCUAGUGUUGUCUUCCCCAGCCCAAACAUUCCAACAAUUGAGAUUACCUGUAGCCGCCGUGGUCCCCGAGUGAGAAGGUCGAUCAUUUUUUGUGACUCAUCCUCAAGGCCAAUGACAUUUUCUUCCUCCACCAUAACGAUCUAUUACAUGAGGAGAAAAGUCAUCAAAAAGAGUUGAUGCCAGUUCAGGAUGAAACAAGAUUAAUCAGGUACAUGCAAACACAAUUGAAUGGUGAAAUGAUCAAAUACGAAUAAAACAGAACUAGAAAUUACUAGUCUUCCACCAUAACCAUAAAAAGAAAUUGAUUGGUUGCAAUGGGUCUUGACGCUAUUAGGUAUAGCAAUGAUAUUGGGAGGGGCCAACUCUUGUCGGAAAACCCAAAUGUUGCAAAUUUUCAGGUAAUCGAAAUCUUAGUCAAUAUCUAAUUAAAUCAAUCAGUUUGAAUUUUUAAGUUGCAGUCACCAACCUUUUUUGCCCUCUGCUUUAAUUGUUUAGGUUGACAAACCAUAUAGGUAACAAAGUAACAUCUUAUACCAUCAACAGAGUCAGAUCUAAAUGGUAGUUCUUGCUCAGAAGAGUACAAGAGGAUUCACUAGUACAAAUAAAUGAACAGCUCGCACCCAUAUACGUAUGUCGCCAUUUCUGAUUCUAGGAAAGCAGUGACAAAAAGGAUAAAUUUUCUUGCAAAGAAUUUCUGGAUUUUGGUAGGAGUGAAAAGUUGGACAAAAAUUUAAAAAAAAAAUGCUGUAUUCAUUUCUUUUAUUGGCGUAUUUUCCUUUUCUGUUUCCAUCCCAAAAUUCAUAAUCCAUACUUACAGAAAAUGAAGCAAGCUGUCAUUUACCUUUUCCCUCUUUGGACCCGUGCUGGAGGCUUCAACAAUUUGCAUAGAUUCAAUCCCAAGAGGCACCAUGUUCUUGUAGAUGUCCCGCACAUACUUGGUCACUUUCUCGAUCUGUUUCCUCCCACGUCGAAGUUCUGAUGCAUCAUCAACGGCGUGGAGAGCCCUACUGAUUGAACUCCUACGUUUUUGCAAGGAAACACGAACUAUGUAUGUCUCUAUCGCAUCCUCAGCAUCAUAAACCACAGACUUGAUCUCGCCGACCACGUUUUCAAGGACUGCGCUGUUGGUUUGCUUCUGUGUACAGUCCUUGAUGAAGGCUUUCAGAAGCUCAAGAUCUUUGCCAAGCACUUCAACGUUGUCCUUCACUCCACUGAUCAAAUCAGAUUGGUAUUGGAUUAACUCCUUGAGAUUUCCUAACAGAAAUUCCACUGCACUAUCUGGAACAUUAGCCAUAUUUCUUCUUUCUUUCUCUCGGGAGGUUUGGGAGUGAACAAUUUGAGAGUACUAUUCUUUCAACUUUUUCUGAACCUUGAAGUGGUUACAUGAAUAAUGUGCAUUGAACUGGAAAGUUGACUCGGCCUUGGAGAUGGUAUAAUAAAGGGCAAAUUAUCUGAUUGGCCCUUGAACUCUUUGUCUAGGUAAAAAUAAGCCCCUCAUCUAUUUUUUGUUGACUUUAAGCCCUCGAACUUGAUAAAUUGGGUACCCGUGACCCUUUUAGCCAGUUUCUUUGAUUUUAUAAGUGGAAGGCCUAUUCACACGAAUGCCAGUGUGCUUUUUCAAAGGGUAUUUUUGUCCGCAUCUUCUAAGCAAAAAGGGAACCACCCAUCCCCGCCCCUCCCGCCCCUUUCUCUUCUGUUGCUUCUCCUCCUUCUCCACCACCUCCCCUGCCCCCUCCCUCUCCCUGAUAUCUUUGCCACUAUCACCUCCCCCUCCAACUAUUUUAGCCCCCAAGAGACAACGCCGCCCCAGUGUUCGAUUAGGUGAAAUCGGCCACCAAUCUUUCGAAAAUCAUUCCUACCAUCCUCGUCGCCCCUCCAAAACUUGGCACUUCCAUAGAGACCCUUCUCUCGCUGCCAAAACCUCCAAGUCCCGACCUUUAACCAACCUCGUCAACUGUGCUGCCCCCUGCCCCCGACCGCAGCUACCACCACGAUAACACCAAUAGUUACGCCUUCGACUUCUGCACUAAAAGGACCAAGACCAAGAAGCCCGCCACCAAGCAGGUCAGGUCUAAUUGGGCUUCUGCUCCCAAAUUCGAAGCUGUCGUACCCAACGGAGGUUUAAUGCUUCCCCAAAACGAAUAGGGAUUUACGAAUAAUCAACAUUUGAUUAAAAGUUAGAACUUUUUUAUUGUUUAACUUGGAUUUGGGUAUUACAUUAGAGUUUGACUUGUUUGGAUGAAAAGGGGUAAGGAAAAUGCAGUGUGGUUUGACUUAUAGGGGGGAUGAUAUCGGAAGGCUGGAGGUCAGCCAUGUGAGAUGUUUCAAACAAGUGAGUGAGAGAAUAGUAGAAAAAAGCAUAGUGGAAGGAGGAGGAGAAGGACAGGUGGGAGAGGUGGAGAAGAGAGCAGAAGUUUGCGGGAGGGAAUCUAGUGGCGUGACUACUUCAGUUCUACUACCACUACCUGGGCACCGUGUUGUGCUAUUGAAAGUGGUUCUCCAGUCCGGUUGUCCUUCUAACCCUUUUACCCCCUUUCCUAUCGUAGUUCGACUUGUUUGGGCGGUGUGUUUCAACUUGUUUGGGCAGGUAAAAUAUCGUAGUUCGACUUGUUUGGGCGGUGUGUUUCAACUUGUUUGGGCAGGUAAAAUGGAAGGAAGAAUGAGGAGUUGUUUUCUUUUUGCUUAGAAUAUGUGGACAAAAAUGCCCUUUGAAGAAACAUAUUGGCAUUCGUGUGAAUUUGCCUUAGGCUUGCAAAAUCGGAGAAACUGGCUAAAAGGGUCAUGGGUGCCCAAUUUAUCAAGUUCGAGGGCUUAAAGUCAGUGAAAAAUAGAUGAGAAACUUAUUUUUACCUAGAUAAAGAGUUCAAGGGCCAAUCAAAUAAUUUGCCCUAUAAUAAAUGUUUCUUUACACAGCAGGUUUUAGAUCAGGACGAAUACGUGUGAGUAAAAAUUUGAUGGCAUCAGCCAUCAGGCCAUUAGGCGGGCCUUCCCCAGUCCUGGACGCCACUAGCUGAUAAUUAGUACAUUUUCCAAUUUUUUAAUGGAUUAGUUUAAGUUAAUUGUUACCCUACAUUAGCUCCAAUGACGGAGCUAGGGAGGCAUGGCAUCUUGUAAGUUUUGAAAAUUUUAAUUCAAAAUAUGUAAAUAUAUGUAUAAAAUAAAGUUAGCUCCCUCUAAUUUUUUUUAUAAUUUUAAUUUGUAUUAUGAAAGUUUAUAUAUAUAUAUAUAUGUAUGUAUAUAUGAAUUAGCCACCUUUGAAUUAAUUUUUGUCUUCAAAAAAAGUUAUUUAUUUUUAUUGUGACAAUUAUUUAACUCUCAAAAAAAAUUAAUCAUAAAAUUUGAUGAUCCAUAGUAUAUUGAUCCAAUUUGACAUAUUAUAAUAAAAAAACCCAAUUCAUAAUUAUCAAUGGGUUACAUCAGAAACAAUUACUGUGUUGGCUAGUAUACAAAUAUACAAUUUAGCUCAAUUGAUUAGACUUGCUUAUCUUCUUCUUCAUCCAAUUACAGAACAGGCAUUUUCAAUUAUGAAAAUAAUCAAGACAAAGUUUCGAAACAAGAUGAAAGAUAAUUUCUUAAAUGAUAUAUUGCCUAAUUGUGUACAUAGAAAAGGAAGUUGCUGGAAAAUUUAGCACUGAUUCAAUCAUAAAUGAAUUUAGUUAUAUGAAAGAACGUAAAACUCAUUUUAUUUUUAAGAAAAAGGUUAAAAUUUCAAAGUAUGUUUUAUCUUUUUUUUUAAUUAAAAAAGUUACUUUUAUAUCACAUAGUUAUAUAUGUGUGUGUGUGUGUCUAUAUAUAUAUAUAUAUAUAUAUAUAUAUAUAUUGCAUAGGCGACAUAUUGGAGUACGUUCUCAUAAUGUGCAACUUGGAUGGUUUGUGAUGUUAUAAAAUAUUUAAUCAAAGGUUAUUUCUUAUCUUAAUUUUCAUUAUGACUGUGUUGCAUAUUUAUAAAAUAAACAUACCUUUAUAAUUAAAGUUGAUAUUUGAUAUUUUUAGAUGUCAUAUAUUUAAAUAGAUGAAAAUUAUUUUGAACAUAAUUUAUUAAAAUAAUUUUGUUAGGGAAAAUUUUGACUCCCAAAGAAAAAGUCCCUGGCUCUGUCACCGAUUAGCUCAGACCAUGUUAACUUUGUGACAAUCAAAUUGGAUUAGUUUUAAAGAUGAAUAGUUUGGUUUACUCUUAAUCUUGCACUUUUAUUUAAUAAUCUUUGCCGUACGAAAAGCAUAGUACGCUGUGUUUAUCAAAGAGAAAAAAAAAUUGAAAAAUAUAAGUGUCACAGAUCAUGUUUUAAUUUUUUUUUCCCCUUAGUAGGGGAGGGGCGAGAAUAGUGAGAAAAAAAUUUGAAAAACUAGUGAGAGCGUACUUUGGAUGUUGUAAAGACAUUUCUUCGUAGAAUUUGUACCAUUUUCAAUAUACGAGUCGAAGGUGUUUCAUAUUUGUGUGAUUAAUAGUAAUCUCAUCUUCUCUCACACACAAAUAUUUGUCAAUGUCCAAAGAGGCAGCUGCGGACUCCCGUAGAAAAGCCGUCUUGGCUUUUGUCAAAAAACUUUUUCGUCAAUCUAACUUUGUUGUUUGAUUUCCAGUAAUUUCGAUUAUUGAAAAAAAAAAAAAAACUUUUUCGUCAAAGGGGCACUUGACUCACAUAUGAUUUCAUGUGCUAACACACAGUUUUUACGAAGUGGAGUCAAAGAUCAAAGUCAUGAUUUCAUUCUAGAAUUUGUUUAACGGAUUUAUAGAAACUUGGAUUAAAAUUGACAAUAAUAUCUACCUGAAUCAUCAUAUUAGAAUCUUAAUGCCAAAGGAUAAUUAUAAAAUAAGGAACAAAAAUGAGGACAACAAUAAUUAAACAUUUUUGUUAAUUUGUACCCUUUCAUUAACUAAACUAAUACUCAUAAGUUUGUAAAUAAGUCAUAUUGAAAAAAAUUGUGCAUAUAUUAAAAUUAAGAAAGACUGCAUUAUUAUAAGUUAUAUUGAACAAAUUAACCAAAAUACUAACAAAUUCAACUCACAUGACAUGAAAAAUAAUAAUCUUGUAAAUAACAUUUAUGCAAAAAUUUUUUAAAAAAAUUGGCAUGAUAAUUCAGGCCACCAGAAAGCAAAUCAAAAUCCAAAUCUAACAAUCUCAAAUCCAAUUCACAUGGCAUGGAAAAUAAAAAUCUCGUUUUUCUUGGCAUGGCAAUUCAUGCCAACCAAAAUCCACAUAAAAAACAAAAAGGGUAAUCCCAUUCAGUUAUAGUUUUGAAUUUUUUCGCACUUAGGAAAAAAAUUAGUAACAACAAAUAAAAAAGCAAUAAGAGUACCAUUCAAAAUUUUGACACUUAUAGCGAAGUCUUUAGUUUUUGGUCAUAUUUUAUAUUUUCAAUUAUGAAUUUUACUUUCAGUUGGAAGAAGACACGUCACGACAAAGUAACCUAGAAUGACCCUCCUAUGGUUUUGCCAUAUGACCCCUCUAACGUUUCAAAAUGUCCACUUCACUCACUUAUAGUUUUAUAUAAAGUGAAAAUUUGAUCAAAAAUAAUUAUGUAACGUCGUUAGUUGAUAUAUCAAUAGUGCCCUUACUUAAAUGCUAAAUUAAUCAACGGCCUAACCACCAUGUAUAAAAAUAUAAGGGGAUUAUGUGAAUAAAUGCAAAAAUCAGAGAGACUAUAGUGAAUAUUUAUACAAAUCAUAAAUGGAUUAUAUGGAUAUUAAGGUUUUAUUACACGCGCUUUUAAAGAGCAUUUGGUAUAAACAUCGUAACUGAUUGUGUGUUCCAUCAAUUUUUUCACUUUACAUAAAAUCACAAGGGGGUUAUGUGAUUAUUUUAAAACCAUAGAGGAGUUAUCUAACAUUCUGUAAAAUCACAAGGGGGUAAUGAGUAAUUUGCCCCUAAAUUUACUAACAAAUCACAAGGUUAAAUUGUAAGUUUUCAAAUCAUAAUAGUUGAUAUAUACAAUCGCUCAGGCAUAGAACGGUUUCCAUAUUUCACAAAAGAUUUUCACUAAUGCCCUCCCUGUAUUCACAUUUAAUUGAGUGGAUGAGACAGAUGAAGCUAAAAUACCGAGAAUACAAUUUUCAUGCGAUCAAGUGUCAUCUGGAGACCAAAAAACAGAACAUUAACUUGAAAUUACUGAGCCAGGUGAAAGACAGUACUAAUCUUGCAUACACUAUUAGUGUAUCAACUAUUAGUUUUGAAUAAAUAACAACUAUAUCAAAUUUUAAUUUAAAAUUUAACCUUUAUACAUAUGUUAUGAUUCAACAGUAGGUCAGUGUACAUAUAAGACUUACUCGUGAAAGAUGUCCAAAAAAGAGAAUUUAGAUCACCGGAAAAAGAAACAAAAGAGAUAAAAAUUUACACCAAGCAGGAGUGGCUUGCAUAUUUACAAUCUGAAAUUUUGUGAAUGCAAGACUAGCUCUCCAUGACAAUCAAAUAGUUGAGAGAAUGAAAAAGAUUUUGAUCUUUUGCACAAAUUAUGCUCAGCUGAGAUUUUUUAAUUUCCAGGUCAGCUUGUGAAUUCUUCAAAUCCUGAAAUGUUCUUCAACUUGAUUGUCUCACCAUCAACGGGCUGAGCAAAACGAUACAGAUAUUUGAUAUCAUCCUGCGUAUUCAAUCAAAGAAAUAAGACAAUUCUUUAUAUUCAAAGGAAAAAGAAAACAGGAGUGAUAAAGGUAACCAGGCUUCCCCUUUGAUUUUGGAAUCUAAGCAAGGGAAAAAUGAAAUUAUUAUCAGCAAUACUGAUUGUCUGGUGAAAAUGCAAGUCCUGUACUAACUUCCUUCCUAGGAAUAAGCUGACAAGGAAACAAAAUGAUGCAAAAGAGCAAAAGGAAAUAAGCAGAAUAACAUAUGCAUAGCAUUAUAGCAAGGUGAUAUGGGAACCAAGAAAGAGAAAACUAAUAGUAUGACUCACAUUAAUGUCACUGACCAUUGAAGAAGUAAUGAUUCAGCUUGUUCACCUUGCCAUCAAUAUUCAGGAGGAUAAACAGAAAGCUUAAAUGAGCUAUCUUUGCUGCUUUCUUGCUCUGCUUUUAAUCGAAGUUUUAGAAGCUCAAUCCUCUUAGCUGAGCUAGCCACUGAACGAUUAGUACAAUAAAGGUCAAUCACUUGGAAGCUUGAUAUAUCUCCAAGACCAGAUGGGAUGGCCUCAAGCCUAUCACAGUGUCUAAGAAAGAGGGAUCUCAAUGAUGGGAAAUUACUAGCUGAAGCUUUCCACACAACUAAAUCUGUGCGGCCUAUGUGCAGAACUCUGAGGCAACGAAAACCCCCAUCUUCUGUGUCCCAAUAUCUUCCAAGAAAUGCAUUAUUCUUCAACUUGAGCACUUCAAGAAUCUGCAGCUUUCCCAGUAUAGACAUAUAUUUCCAAUCAAGUGAGGUAUUUUCAAGUGUCAGCCUCGUUAAAUUCCUGGGGAACUUGUACUCUUGAGGAAGGGAGUCUAACCUGGUGGUUGUGUCUUCAUUCAGAAGCUUCAAGUUUUCAAGGAAAUUGAGUCUAAACAAGCUGUCAAAUAUCUCCUCUAUAACAGUUCCUAAUCUCCCACGAAUGCCCAAUUUCCUGAGAUUUGGAGUCCUUUCAAACACUUCCCUUUUACAACAUUCAGGUGAUAUCAUAGAGAGAGUUUGAAGGUUUGGAUUAAUUAAGCUGUCUUCCUUACCUUUUGGUAUGGAUGUGGAGCAGUUAGUAUGUAAAUGCCUUAGUUGUGGCAUCUUCCAUAUGUCAGCUUUUAUUUCGAGGGCUCGCAAGGAUGUAUCUAUUAUAAUUGUUUGUAGGUUCAGCAGAGUAGAUAGCUUUCCAGGGAAGACUUUGAAGUGGCAAGAGAUUGCAAUGUACUUCAAUAGCAAGAGGUAAAAGAAUUCAGCUGGGAAACGACUAAAAAUGAUGGAUCCAAUGUCUAAAACUUUCAAUAGUUUAAAUGCCUUAGGGAUGAAUGAGAUAUGCUCUUGAGGUAACUGAAUUUGUUCCUUGGCAAAGCUCAGAAAUGAUCGAACAUAAUCACCGGUAGGUUUUACUUUAAUAUGCUCUAGGUUAUGGGGAUGAAUGCAAAGGCGACGGGCAUUGUGAGAAGAAGAGUAAGGUGCAGAGGUAGAUUCAUCAAACCUUUUUAUUUCUCGGAAAAUAUUUUCUUCCACAGCCUGUUUCUUGCAAAAAUCUUGCAACAUGUUGUUCAUACGACAUGUUUUAAUUCGGCCAUCUGAUCUCUUCUGCCCGAUCAUCACUAAGCUCCGAUCGACCAAUUCCUGUAGGUAAAACUCUGCCACAUCCUCCAUGUUCAUGAAUCUUUGGUGCUCUAUGAACCCUUCAGAAAUCCACAAGCGGAUUAACUUCCAUGCUGGGAUUUCAAAGUAUUCAGGAAAAACCCCAAAAUAGAGAAAGCAUGGCUUCAAGUUGUAGGGCAAGUGGUUGUAACUCCUCCUAAUCACAUCAUUGCCUAGUUCAUCAUUCUUGGCAACAUAAUCAUGCACAUUUUCAGCCACACUCAUCCACCAAUGUGUAGCUUUGCUGUUAUUCCGGAGUAUCCCAGCAACUACUACAAUUGCUAGAGGUAAUCCAGCGCAUCUAUCCAGGAUCUUGGCCUCGUAUGCCUGUAGUUCUUCGGGGCAAUUAUUCCCAUCAAAAACUUUAUAUCGGAGCAGCUCCCUACUUUCUUCUGGUGACAGGAAUCCCAAGUAAUAGGGUUCAUUUUUUGUAUUGGCAUAAUGAGCUACAGCUACAUUUCGAGUAGUUAUUAACACUCUGCUACCCUUCUUGUUGUCAGGAAAAGCAGACUUCAAUUUGUCCCAUGCAUCAUUGGACCAUAGAUCAUCUAUCACGAUCAAAUACUUAUAUUUUAGACGCUGUCGCACUUCAUCAGCUAAUGCAUCAUCUGACAUCCUAUUCAUUGCUUCAUCGAUACGAGUAAAUGAAGUGAGAAUACUCAGGAAGACAUCUUUUCUCUCCCAAUCUUGAGAAACAUGAACGAAUACUUUUGUAAAGAAUUCAUAGUCAAUCAUUGGGUCACUAAGGACCUUUCUGGCUAAUGUUGUUUUGCCGAUCCCAGGCAUCCCAACGAUUGAGAUUACCUCCAAUUGGUCUGAUUGUCGCUGCGAUCUACCUGUGAGAAGUUCGAUUACAUCCUUGGCCGAAUCCACGAAGCCAAUCACUUUGUCUGCCCCGAACAAAGGAGUCUGUUGCCAACAGACAGAAAAUUAUAAGACAUUGAAAGCUGAAAGCACAGAAGAAAAUGACCAACGAUAAAAAACUAUACAGCAAACUAGGGACUCACAAGUGCAUUUUCAAGAAAUGGGAAACUAAGUCUAGUUAUAAAAAAAUUCUUGGCAAUUUUGACAUGCUACACCCAUGUCAGUGGUCAUAAACCAGCAAGCUGACACAUAAGUUGCAAAACUGCUGGUAAAUCAUAAAAGUUUUCAAUAGCCAAAAUCACCUAACUCUAUCAUACAACACAUUCCUGCUGGGCUGUUGAACCCUUUCUCCUAAAUAAAGUAGUGAAUGAUGCACCAAAAGGGAUGCAUCCUAAAACGUCGACCAAAUGUAAUGUUUUAGUCCCAUUAUUUCUUUGUUCUUAUGUAAUACAGAAACCAUAUAAUGUAAGGCAUGGUCCGUCAAUGUCUACUUAGACAAAAUUUAUACCAGGAAUUAUAUGUUGACACCAAUGAAAGAUAAAAUUGAGUUUAAGACGAUGAUUUGAAAAAAAAAAUAUUAAACAACAAACUAGUUUGAUGAGAGAAGAAUGAGUAAAUUCCAUAAGCAGAAUCUUUAUUAGUUGAUGCUGGCAUAAAAUUGCUUUCAAUCAAGGAGAUAUCAUUGCACUAACAGCCCUUCAUAUCACAUCAAUCAUAUUACUGGUCUUACCUCAAAUUAAUCAUACCAGUAUAUUGCCUAUCUAUGUGAUCAAAUUGAUCUAUAACCAUUUUAAAGCUGAGGGAGACAAAAUACAGUCGCAUUAUUAUGUAGUGCUGGUAUAGGAAGGUGGCCUUUUACCUGUUUCUUGGUUCUCAUAUAGGAGAUCUCAUCAAAUUGCAAGGCAUCAAGGCCAAUGCUCGGCAAAUCGCUUCGUUGAAUGUUCUGUACUUGCGCACGUACUUGUGCAAUCCGUUUCCCCAAACUGCGAAGCACAGACGCGCUCUCAGUCGUGUGAAAAGCUCUGGCAAGAAAGCCUCUGUGUCUUUGAUUAGACGCAUGAAGUAUGUAUGUGUCAAUUGCAUUUUCAGCUUCAAAAACAACGUCCCUGAUUUCGUUCUCCAAGUUCUUGAUGGCUCCCUUGUCCUUCUGCCAUUCAGGGUAAUGCUUGAUAGAGGCUUUCAACACAGCAAGAUCAUCGCACAAGCCCUUGAGGUCAUUGCUCAUGGCUCUUCCGAUUAAAUCAGUGUUGUAUGAAAUUGUCUCCAUCAUGUUGCCUAAGAGAAUUGCUAAAGCAGGAAUAUCAGCCAUCGUUUUUCUUGUCUCUCCUCUAGAGUUGAAAUUGACUUAGAUUUCUUCAAGUUCUUGCCCUGAAGUAUGAAGAAGAAAAAAACCUUUUCAGCAGAAAAUAGUAGCAAAUGAACGUUGACCGAAGGCCAAGCAAAAUAUUCAGUGCUGCAAAAGCUACAGCAGGUUGAGCUAGUAAAAACAGUAAAAGCUAUAUUACAACUUCAUAAUACAUAUUCAAACGCAAAAUUUCGUAUUGGUUUACAUCUCAUAAAUGUACCUCAAAAACAUAUAUAUUAUCAUAAGAUAUUAGUUAACGUAUAAGACACACGAAAAAUUUUUCCCUGUAGUUUACUUCAUUAAUAAUUCUCACCUUAUGAAAAAAUUUUAAAGGUUUCAACUGAAUGUUAUGGUCUAAAAAACAUUUUUAUAGUCAAGAAAUUAAGUAAACGAAAUGGCUAUAUAUGGUCAUUAGAUAUCGGAUAAAAAAAUAGUAACUACCUUUAGAAAGUUUCAAGAAGGGCAUUUUUGUACAAAAAAGUUGACAAUAUAUAUAUAUAUAUAUAUAUAUAUAUAUAUAUAUAUAUAUAUAUAUAUAUAUUGAAUCUUUGUUAGAAAUAAGACAGUAACUACCUAAAACUUUGUUUGUGGGGGGUAAAUUGAAACUAGCCUUUAGCUUUACAGAUGUAAUCGCAAUUAAAUAUAUACCGAAAGCAAUGGAAAUUAAUUUGCCAUUUAGCUUGCAAUUUUCUAGUUUUUAUUUACCUAUGAAUCGAUACCAGUAAUUGCGCCAAUUUGUAUUUUAUAUCCUAAUUUUUAGUCAAGCUUUGGAGAAGAUUUUGUUCAAUAUGCAUAAGUAUAAUAGUUAGUAAGUUUCAUUACACUUUUUCUUCAUCUGAUCCUUAGUAACAGUACUUUGUCCUUGUACCCCAAAAAAAAAAAAAAAAAAUUGUCCAAAUGAACUUUAGAUACGUACAUCGUAUCCCCUUCCAUAAUCAAUCAAAUAUUAGAAACAACCUUUCCGUCCAUGAACUUGUUGAAAUGAAAUUGGUGCCCCAAGAUAACACUACUAGUAUGGAUGAUGCUACAUUUCAGACCAAAAUAUGCAAGGUCUUAAUGGAUUAAAAGUACUGCACUUAGGUCAUGUCAUAUAAAGUAAAUAUAUAAGAAAAAAUGAUAGGAUGGAGAAGAAUUGACUAGAGGUUGUAAAAGCAAAUGUAGAAUUUUCCGAAAACAACUAUAUUAACUUUGAUCUGUUCUUCUCCCGUCAUCUAGAUUAUCAACCAACUAGAAUUCAUUGUCUCACAAACCUUAUACUUAUAAGAUCCCUUCAAUAUUCUCCCAUGAUUCUCAUGAAUUUAGGUGGUGCGAAUUGGUACAUUUGUGCCACAUUUGCACCCUAUUUAAUAAUAUUAUAUAUAUAUAUAUUAUAAUGAGCGUUGCGACGAGUAUAUUGAGAUUAGCACUUUUACUUGUUUGCACUUCUAUGCAAUUUUUCUAAUUUUUUUUGUUGCUAAACUCCUUUUAUUUAGUAUAAGUGGGAGCUUUUGAAUUCGAGAUCUCUCACUUACAUGCUCUCCCUAUAUAUCACCCAAUUCAACCCUUCUCCCUACUCUACUUUAAUUUCUUCUGCAUUUAAUCUAUGUUCUAGCCAAAUAUAAAGUUUAGUAUGUUCCAAUGGGUUUAGCAAUAGUUGAAAAAAUAACAAUUUGUCAAAUUUAAAAUUGCAUUUCAUAUAGUCAAAAAUUAAUAGAAGUAAUUUGGUCAUACAAAAAAUAUGGAUUACAAAUAUUAUAUUCUAUUUCCCAAAAUAAAAUUUUAAUUUUAUAUUUUGAAAUGGAUUACAAAUAUUACAAAAAUCUUAUAGUAAUAAGGGAGGCAAGUGAAAUUUUUUUGAUACUGCCAGAAACUUCAAGACAAGUUUUUGAAAUUAUCUCUAGGAACUACCGCGGACUCGUAUGGAGUUAAAGUUACUCCACUUUCAGCCCCAGAAAAGCACGAUCAUGGGGACAUGGACGUGCUCCUUAGUAGGGAUGGCAAUGGGGGCAGGUGCCCGUGGGCGCCCGCCCCGCGGGGGCUCUCGGGGCGGGGGUUGGGGCGGGGGGUGGGGCAGGGGCGGGGGGGAAUUUUUUCCCCCCGCUUAGAAACGGGGCGGGGGGCGGGGAGUAUACCCCCGCCCCAUCCCCCGCAAAACAAAAAAUAUAUAUAUAUAUAAUUAUAUAUAAUAUGUAAGUUAAUUAGUUAUAAACUUAUGAUAAUGAUAUUAUUAGUUAGAUGUAUUAUAUAUUGUAUAUUAGUUUAUGUAAUAUAAUUGAUACAUGUCUACUAAUAUUAUGAAUAAUUAUACAUGUCUACUAAUAGAAUUUAUUAAUUAGUUAUACUAAAUUUACUAAUACAUUUAUACUAAAUUUCUAAUUACACUUAAUAGAAUAACACUUUUUUCUCAAAAAAAAGCACAAACACAAUAAUGAAUUAGUGAUUGCAUUUGUACUAAAAGUGAAAACUUGACUAUUUUAGUUAUAUUUAUUUCAUCAUAUUAGAUUGUAUUCAAAUAACUUCUGUUUGAUUGUUUUUAUGAGUUUCAAUUGUAAAAUUACAAUGAAUAAUAAUUUGGUAAUGUGUUGAUAUUUUAGUACUUGAUUAUUUAUUAAAAUUUAAUUAUAAUAAAAUUAUAUAAUAAAAUUAUAUUAACCCCGCGGGUGCCCCCGCGGGGGAAGCGGGGCAAGGCGGGGCGGGGGACGGGGGAGGGGUCCCCCUCCCCAACCCCGCCCCGUUGCCAUCCCUACUCCUUAGCAAGAAAUAAGGGUACAAUGGUAGAUUAGUUAUUGUUUAUGGGGUCAGGAACCACUCUCUAUUACUCCCUCCGUCCCAUUUUGAUAGUCUUGUUUUCCUUUUUCGUCUGUUCCAAAUUGUAGUUCAUUUUCCCAUUAAGAAAUGUAGUAAUCUUUCAAAUUGUCUAAAAUACUCUUAUUAAAUAUAUUGUUAUUAAUACAUUGUUAUUAAAUACUAACCCACUACAUUGAAUACAUUGAGUUUUUCCAAUACUAACCCAUUAGCUGUAACUGAUAUUAAUUGGCACUCUUCGAGAUUAGCAUAAGGGUAUUUUAAGAAAUUAUUAAUCUAAAUUUAUGUUUUCAACCAAAUUAAUUACACUUUUUUAAUCUGUGUGAAAAAAAAAUCAAGACUAACAAAACAGGACGGAGGGAGUAGUUAAAAACUCAGUCAAUUGAUGCAAUCGGACUGGCCGGCCGCCGGCUGGCCCUCCUAGUGCCCUGUGCAAUCAAUAGAUUUUCAUAUCUUGCGGCAGGCUUGUACUGGAAUUUGUGAUGCAUGAAUAUGAAAGAUCAUCAUUGUACACUGCUAUCUUUUUACAUAUUGUAUUGGUGAUUAGGUUAGCUUGACUUAAUACUUUAUCUACCUUAUUAAUUAAUUUUCUGAACAAAUUAGUGCUGUUAGGCUGGCAUUUCCUAGUGCCAUGCGCAAGCACUUGAUUUUGAUAGCUUUUGAUUAAGAAUCAUUUUGCUGUUUUACGCAGGGGCGGAGCCAGAAAAAAAUCUUAGUGGGGAUAAAAAUAACACUAAAAUUUUUUAUCUACUAUUUUUCUAAUUUUUUAAGCAAAACAAAAGUCUCAUGCAUAAAAUCACCGUUUCACAAGUUAAAAUAUUUAUCAAAUAACUCAUUUAUUAGUUAUUACAUUAACUAAUCAAUUUUCAAAUUUCUUUAAAACAGUAAUAGUCUCAUGCUCUAGAAAUAUAUUUGCAGACAAUUUUAAAAUAAUAAUAAUAAUAAAUAAUUGUUUAGAACCUGAUUUUGAUGGUCUCCUAAAGUUGGUGAAAAGAACUGCAAAAUGUGGCGGAUCCAAGUCCUAGAAGAUCAAUUGAUUCUGGUGCAAUCUCUAAAUAGGAUGAAGUGAUCAAAAGAAAGAGUAAUAAGCUUUGGUUGUGGGAAAAAAAAUGGCUCUCCUAUGUAUGUUGGGGAGUGGGGACAACCGAGAGUCAAAUGAGGAAAGAGAAAUUGGGGAGUGGGGACAAAUGAAGUAAAUGACAAUUGGAUGAAGUGAUAAAAAGAAAAAGUAGUUGGCUUGGGUGUGGAAGAAGAGAAGUCGGUUGUGAAGGAAAAUGGGGGACCAUAGGAGUAAAGGAAACUUGGGGAGUGGGGAUCAAAAGGAAUGACUGAUAUAAUUGGUACUUGGCCCUGUUGGUGGGAAAAUGGGAACUAGAGAAGGAAAGUGAAUGAUAUAAAUUUUGUAACCCAUUCUUUCAUAUUUUUUCUAAAAAAAAUUCUGGAGGCACCUUUAAAAUUAUGUCAAAAUUAUAGAUGUAUUAUAGGAAUUUAAGGGGCAGUGAGGACCUGUGCCCCAGUGCCUCCACUUUAAAUCCGCCCCUAGUUUUACAUUAUAAUAUUGCUGAUUAGGUGAUGCAAGAAUUAGAAAGAUCAGUUAUUCUCGUUUUUUUUCCCAUUUUUGUUGCUUUCAUCCUCUUUGUUUCUUUUCAUUUUCAUCUCUUCCAUCCUCUCAAUUUUCUCUCCUCCCCCACCCCAAAAAAAAAGGUAUUUCGUAAUUUAAGAAGUGAAGUACCAAACACGAAUAAGCAUUGUCAGGAGCAUUGAGAUUAGCACUUUUAGUUGUUUGCACUACUAUGCAACCUUUCUUUUUUUUUUUUCUAAUUUUAUUGCUAAACUUUAAUUUUGUCUAUACUUAAUCUAUGUUCUGGCCAAAUAUACAGUUUAGUCACGUUCAAAUGCGUUUAGCAAUGGUUGAAAUGAUAACAAUUUGCUAAGUUCAAAAUUGUGUUACAUCUAGUGAAAAAGUUAGUACGGGUAAGUUGAUCAUUUAAAGAUUAUGACAUUAUUGCGGCCCGAUUCAAAUUUCAGGGGACAUAAGAGUGUUACUGAUUGAAACUCGAAUUUAAUAAUGAGGAAAUCUUAUAUGCAUUAAUAGUGUAUACACUAUCACGGUUUGACUCAUGACAUAUGUGUAAAAGUUGAAUUUCAAAUUUAAAAUUUAUAUAAUUGUCAUUCAUCCAAUGCUGACAGUAUAUACAUUGUUAGUGUAGGAAAAAUUAAUUCUUUGAUAAUGAGGAUAAAUUGAAAAUCCUCCCCUAGGAUUUCUAAUGGUAUUAUUUAACAUCCCCAAACUUUGAAAAUAUCACUUAACUUUUCUAAUUUAAAUUUUUGUGUAACAUUUAUGAUUCAUGUUCAAAAUAUAAUGUUAAAAACUCAAUUUGGGAGAGAAAAAUAUAAUCUCAUUUCAAAAUUGCUCCUUUCUUAUGGUCUCCUAACUAUCGUAAUACACCAAUUUUAUAUCUUAAACUUUUAUAAGUUUGGUUGAUGUGAUUUUUUAAUGAAAAUGUAAAAGUAAUGACGGAGUAGAGAGAUCUUUUAAUAAUUUUUUUGUGUCAUUGGUUUGGACAAGAAGUAUUUAAAAGUAUAAAUAAUGUGCAAUACUCGUUAAAAUAAUUGAAAUAUUUUACAAUAAUGAAAAUAAAUUUUUACACCAGCUUGAAAACAGCACAAAGAAGUUUAUGUAUAAUUUUCAGAAUUUUGGAUUCUUCUAGUUUUCAAGUCAUCAAUUUUGACAGCAAAAAUAAAAAAUAUAUAUAAAUGGUUUAUAAAGCUCCUUAAAUUAACUCAAAACACCUUAAAGAGAAUAAUUGUUGUUUAAUUGCAAAAACCUCAAAUAAACUUUCAAACAUUAACUUUUGAAUUAAAACACACGCUGCUAUAUUUUGUCCCUCCAAAUCCAAACCUUCAUUGUUUUUUUCAAAUUAUAAUUACAAUAGUUCAAAAGUGUUAAAUGAUAAUGCGAGGUGAUGUUUCUAAAAUCAUCUAUUAAUAACAUAUAGGGAUAAUUUCAGAAACCUCUCGUGAGGUUUCUAACAAUUUUACUAGCCUCCCCUAAAUUUUAUAAAAUUACAUAAAUCUUCCUUGAAAUUAAGGCUUUGGUAACAAAAUUAGUCCAAGUUAGAAAAAGUAACAUUAAAAAAGUACUCUAAAGAGAGAGAUGAAACUUUUAUUUUAUAAAUAUCUUUUAUACAUGUAUAUAAGUUGUACUAGUAAAAGAAUGAAAAUAAUUAAAAGUUAGAAACAAUUAACACACAUAUUUCACUACUCAAAAAGUUUGCAUUCACACCACAUUAGAUAACACAAAUAAAUAAUAACAUUAAAAGAAUUAGUCCAAGUUAGAAAAAGUAACAUUAAAAAAGUACUCUAAAGAGAGAGAUGAAACUUUUAUUUUAUAAAUAUCUUUUAUAUAUGUAUAUAAGUUGUACUAGUAAAAGAAUGAAAAUAAUUAAAAGUUAGAAACAAUUAACACACAUAUUUCACUACUCAAAAAGUUUGCAUUCAAUACAUUAGAUAACACAAAUAAAUAAUAAAAUUACACUAAUAAUCACAAGAUUUAGUAAAACAAACUAAUCAUCUCUCAUAACAUGAGAUUUGCUAUAAUUCUUGUGAUUUUGAACAGAAAAAAUUUCGAAUUUUGCCUUUCUUUUCCCUUAUUUCUCCUUUAUUUCCAAGAAAUUACAUUACAGCUAUCACAACUUUAAGAGUUUAAAAAAAAAAUUUAGCGUGACAACUUUCUUUUGCCCUUUGUUUUUUUUUUUUAUCAAAGUCCUUUUUCUUACAUUGUGCAUAAUUAAUUUUUGGCCAUUAUCAAAUUCUAUCAAUCACAAAAUAGUGUCAUUUAAUAUUUCAAUUGGUAUUAUUUUGUAAUUACAAGUCAUCGUUCAUCAUUAAAGAAAAUUGUAAUAGUUAUUUUCAUUAAUUAGUACUCUAAUUACUCAAUUGUCUAAUAUUAAUUUCUAAUAGCACAUAAUGUCUUAGGGUAUAUGGGUAAUUUUCUCACGUGACAUAAGUAUUUGAGCUCACAAUUUUGUUAGGAGAGACAAGUGUAAUUUUAUAAACUUCAAGGGAGGUCGUUAAAAUCGUCAGAAACGUAAGGAGAGGUUUGUGAAAUUAUCCCUAAUACAUACACGUCGCGUUAAAGUUUCUCCGUUAUCUGCACCACGAAAGUCAAGUCAUGAUCACGUGGCCAUGUACAAGUUCGACAGCCAGACAUAAGCUACAAAAAUUUUUGCCCUUUUCUCUUUCUUUUGUCAGAAAACAAAUGGCUCGAGCCUUUUGUUUAUUCCAACAAAAACUCAGCAAAAUUGAUGCCAUUAGGCUGGCGUGCCCAGUGCCCUGUGCAGUCAAAAGAUUUUCGUGCCUCGGAAGGAUUUAUAGUUCUGUUUGGAUAAUAUAUUAUUUUAAAUAAUAUUUUACUUAUAUCAUAAAUAUAUUUUUAAAUAUAUUUUUUUAUUUUAUAUAUUAUAUCAAAAAAAAUUCUAUCGUAAUUAUUUUAAAUAAUAUUUCAAAUAACACUUGGACAGUUUAUGAAUGUGAAAGUUCAUUAUUCUACUUUUUUUUUUUCCCUUGUGUUCAUUUUUGUCGCUUUCAAACCAUCAAAUUCUUUAUUUUCUCCUCCCUGUCUUUUUUCCAAAGCUGAGAGAAACUCAGACUUUUGCGUAAAUAAAUCAUGAAUUCCCGAACAACCUUCAAAAGUCGGCAACUUUUGAAGGCAUCCAGGAGACUUAUAUACACUAAACCCAACUCCCCCCAUUUCCGAUGUGGGAUAAAAAAUCCCACAGGUGCCCCGCUGCUAAGAAGUAAAGACCUCCCAAACCCCCUGAGAAUGAGUUUUCUGUCUUUUUUCCAAAGUUGAGAGAAACUCAGACUUUUGCGUAAAUAAACCAUGAAUCCCCGAAUAACCUUCAAAAGCCGAUAACUUUUAAAGGCGUCCAGGGGACUUAUAUACACUAAACCCAACCCUCCCAUUUCCGAUGUGAGAUAGAAAAUCCCUGUUUCUCCUCCUUGACCUGAGCCUGAACCUGACCCUGGCCGCCCCGGCAAUCAAGAAAUACAUUACAAUAGUGAUUUUUUUUUAAAUUUUUUUCUGCAACAACGACAAUCUGUCUUACUUCUAUUCUAAACUAAUUACAAGAGAGUAGAAGCUUAAAAGAAUUUGUAUGAGAGUUAGAAAUGAAUCAUUAAAUUAGAUAAAUACAAUACUACACUAUUUGAAUUUUAAAAAAAUUGUAUUUAUUGUAAUGCGCUGGGCGGAAUGUGAACCCUCACAUAAUAAUUGACACAACUUUUUUAGUGCCGCGUCAAAUCAAUCCACUUUCAAUUCAUGUCUUUGGGCAGAACAUUUUAGUGCGUUGUUCAAUCAAUCCACUUUCAAUCUUUCAUGUCUUUGGGCAGGAUUAUCCUGAUGUUUUACAUUAUUGCUGAUUAGGUGAUUUAAGCCAAGACUUUAUUUCCUAAUGUCAUGUGCAAUCACUUGAAUUUCGUACCUUGAUGAAGGAUUAUCCAGCAGUAAUGAUUUAUUUGGAUAGGCUAUUAUUUAAAAUAAUUACUGUAGCACUUUUUAUGAUGUGAUGUAUGUAAGAUAAAAAUAUGAUUAGAAAUAUAAAAAGGUGAAUUAAAAAAUAUGUUUAUAAUAUAAAUAAAAUAUUAUUUAAGAUAAAUUUUGUAUCCAAAUAUUUCUAAUUGUAUCAUAUUGCUGAUUAGGUGAUGGAUGAGCGAGACGAGUCAAUUAUUCUCGUUUUUCAAUUUCAUCGCUUUCAUCCCGUCCUCUCAAGUUCUUUUCAUCUUUCGUCCUCUCUGUUUCUUUAAUUUUCUCUCCCCAUCAGCCUGGCCGCCCGCCUUGGUUGAAGAACUUAUCUUGGUGUUUUGAACCUUUAAAAAAGUACCUUUAAUUUAAAAAGCGGAGUGCUAAAGCACAAAUAAGUCCAAAAGGUCAGCAAAAAGCUGAAGCUCAACAAUCAUAACCAUGGUUAGUGCCCUUAAUUUAAAAUUGGAGAAAUUGUUCGUUCCUAAAUUUUUUUAGUGCCAAUUUAGUCCUUCACUUUUAUUUUUGAUUAAUUUGAUACUUGAACUUAUUUCACAGUUCCAAUUAAGGAUUUUCGCGGUGACACCACUACCUAAAAUUGAUCUGACUCCUAAUUGACUAAUUAAAUAGGGGUAUUAUCAUGAGAUUGUAAUAAAACAAGUAAAGCGUAUAAAAAAAUCACCAAAUAAAACUUUUAAAUAGUGUAAAAAAUCAUCAAGUAAAACUUUUUUGAAGUUUAAUAUUGUGAUUUUUUAUACAAUUUACUUGAUUUAUUAUAAUCCCAUAAGUGAUAUUCCCAAAAUACUCUUAUUUAGUUGGUCAAUUAAAAGCUAUAUUAGUUUUACGUGAUGAAACAGCCAUGGAAAUCCUUAAUUGGAACUGCAAAAUAAGUUCACAUUUCUUUUGUUUUUUUCUGCAACGAUGAAAAUCUAUCCUACUUCUACUCUAAACUAAUUACAAGAGAGGAGAGGUUUAAAAGAAUUUGUAUGAGAGUUAGAAAUGAACCAUCAAAUUAGAUAAAUAAAAUACUACACUCUUUAAGUUUUUAAAAAGGGAUAAUUUUAGAAGUCUCCGUGAGGUUUCAGACAAUUUCACUGAACUUCUCUGAGAAUUGAAAAAUUACACAUAUCUUUCUUGUCAUUUAAAAUGAUAAUUUUAUCCUUAAAUAUUUUAAUGAAAUUCGCUUUUUUGGUAUGCUUAUAUUGAGAAUGAGUUUUAAAAUUAUUUUUUCAUUCUUAUUCCUUUUUUAAAAUUUUUCGCCAAUAAAACUGUAAAACUACUACUAUUGCCUCUAGAUUUCUAUCAUAACUAAAUGCCGAACUAGUGAUUUUUUUUAUGAAUUAAUUUCAUAUGUAAUCCAAUGUUUUUGCUGAUUUUUGUUUUCUAUUUUUUGGUAUUAAAAUUAACAAUAAAUAAAAAAGAAAUGACCCCAAAAUACUACUAAAUUAUGAUAAUCCCACUACUCCAAAAAUUUAUAAAUUCUAAAUGAAUUAUUUCAACAUUUUUUUAUCUUAUAAAUCUACAUUUAUAAUAAAAUACUAUCAAAAAUAACAUAUCAUAGUAAUAAAAUUAUUAUUAUAGUUGUUUAUUAAAUAUUAGAUAUAAACAUGAAAAUUUUGACACAUUUUCCUUAUAAUUAUACGAAUAAUCUUAUAAUUAUAUAGGAUAUAAAUUAAAACUCAUUCCACAAGGGCAUUUUUGGGCAUUUAUUUAAAAAAUUGUUCAAGUUAAUAUUAUUUUAAGGUUUUGUUACGAAAACUAUCAAAUCAAAUGAGGUAAAUGUAAUUUUUCAAAUAUUAAGAGAGCUCAGUGAAAUUUUCAAAAAUCUCAGAGGAGGUUUGUGAAAUUAUCAUAAAAGGAAUAAUUGCAUAUAGUACCCCUUAGGUUUAAAUAAUUAUAGAAACCUCCCUUAGAAAAUACUUUGAAGCUCACUUUGCUGAUAUAAGCAAAAAAUCCCCAUUCAAAAUCCUAAAAUGCCCUUAUCAAAAAAUUACUCUCAUAUUUUUAUAAAGUUCUUUAGUAAAUUUGUUCCUAUCCGCUAAAAAAAUACUGAUACCUACUUGACCAACAAAACUAAUUCAAUAAGAAUCUAUGUGCGGAGGAAACUAACGGUUUUAUUUACUCUAAAAUCACUACUAUAUGGAGUAAGAUUGGAUUUAGGUUUUGUGGGAGUCUAUGACAAGAUAGAAGCUUAUCACUCUUGUUUUUCUUUUUUCAAAGGAUUUACUAAAUUGAAUUUACAAUACAUUAGUUCGCUUCAUGGAGACUUUAAAUUCAACAAUGGAUGAAGGUUAUUUUUGCCAUUUAAGACAAUGAGGGAAGGUAUGUGCAAUUUUUUAAAAUUGGAGGGUAUUAUCUAAAAUUGUUAUAAACCUCAGGGGAGGUUUGUGAAAUUAUCCCUUUAAAAAACAAGAAAGCACUGUACUUAUUGUGAUGCACUGGACGGUAGGUGAACCGUCGCAUAAUAAUUGACGCAACUUUUUUAGUGCCCCGUUAAAUCAAUCCACGUUCAAUCAUUCAUGUCUUUGGGCAGAACUUUUUUAGUGCGUUGUUCAAUCAAUCCACUUUCAAUCAAUCUUUCAUGUCUUUUAGCAGAACAUUUUUAGUGCGUUGUUCAAUCAAUCCACUUUCAUUCUUUCAUGUCUUUGGGCAGGAUUAUGUUGAUGUUUUCCAUUGCAUCAUUAAAUUUGCUGAUUAGCUGACUUAAGCCAAUUUUUUAUUGAUUAAAUUUUAUAUAUAUUAAAAGUAUAUAUAGUAUGAUCGUUGAAUUUAUGAUAUAUGUGAAAAAAUUUAAAUUUAAAUUUAAAUUUUAUAUAACUAUCAUUUAUCCAAUGCAACACUGACAGUGAUGAAAGAUUAUUACCUAGUGCCAUGUGCAAUCCCUUGAAUUUCGUACCUUGAGGAAGGAUUAUGUAGCAGUUUUACAUUAUCAUAUUGCUGAUUAGGAGAUGGAUGAACGAGACAGCUCAAUUAUUCUCGUUUUUCAAUUUCAUCGCUUUCAUCCAUCCUCUCUAAGUUCUUUUCAUCUUCGUCUCUUUCGUCCUCUCUGUUUCUUUCAUUUUCUCUCCCCACCGGCUGCCGCCUUGGUUGAAUAACAGAUCUUGGUGUUUUGAACCUUUAAAAAAGUACCUUUAAUUUAAAAAAGUGGAGUACUAAAAACACGAGUAAGUCCAAAAGGUAAGCAAAAAAGCUGGAGCUCAAUAAUUAUCAAAAUCUAACCAUGGUUAGUACCCUUAAUUUAAAACUUUUAUUGGCUAAAUGUUGCUUUCAAAUUCAAAAAAAUCUUUUAACGGAUGCUCAGAUUCUAUUGCGUUUCGAAAUCUAUGGUUCAGUAACUUAAUAAUAAUGCUUUUUAGUGCUUGUGUAUGAUCCUACUGCAGAGUUGAGUUUCAUAAACAAGCUCCAUAAUAAUAAUGAGUGUGUUUGGACAGCCAAUUAUUUGGCCAAAUAUAUUUGUUGACAUCACCAUUACAAUUUCCAAUACACCUUUUUAUCUUCCCAAUUACCUUUUUAUCUCACAUACAUCACAUCACAAAAAGUGGUACAGUAAAAAUAUUUCAAAUAACUUACAAUCCAAACACGUUUUUUCGUAGAACAUUUACUGGCUUGAGGCUUUGGCACUGCUCAGUAAUCCUUAUCCUCAUGUUCAAUUAAACACUUUUUUAUGUUGAAAACACUGAAAACACAAUUAGCAGAACAAAGACCAAUAGCUAGAAUUGCACCUCUCCACUUUUUCAUACAAUAAUUUGAAAAUCUUGGGAUUUUGAUCCGGAAAAUAUUUUUACAACAUGAAAUUUGCAUUUUGUCCAUCUUUCUUCAAUUCCUGCUCUUAUCUUUUUUCUUUUUUUUUUUUUUCUGUCAAACUCCUGCUCUUAUCAGGAAUUUUGCAUUUGUCCAUCUUUUGACCUGCAUUCACACUCGUUUGUGCAUUUUUGAGAAUUUUCUGUAAACUCGUUUGGUAUCUAUUCACACUCCUAAACAGAUUCUAACAGUUGCCAAAGCAUUCAUUUUUCCAGAAUGAAGAAAUUGUUGAUCGUCUUCCUUUCCACAGUCAUUCUCUCUACGCUUCAUUUGAUACUAAAUUCGGAACAACAAACCAAAGAAUGCAACAAUAAAUAUGAGACUUAGGUUUAUGACCAAUGCAUAAAAACAUCAACGUUUGAUACAUAAAAAGGUUUUUGAUACAUUUGUAGUUCGACUGAGCCAGCAACGGCAUGAUCGACCAUGAACAAGAGGAGAGCCCUCAAUUCAUCACUUAUUUUUUGCCAGCUUUAUCAUUUUUCUCCAAAAAAGACAAAAAAAAAGGAACAAGGAAAAUGAAAAGUCGAGGACCUUUUGGUGUUUAGUGAAGCCUCCGUCCUCUCUUCU
RNAcentral lists this long non-coding RNA (34212 nucleotides) under Coffea arabica (coffee). RNAcentral describes it as "long non-coding RNA (CARA_LNC007906)". Lineage: Eukaryota; Viridiplantae; Streptophyta; Magnoliopsida; Gentianales; Rubiaceae. The record is from RNAcentral.